This 534-nucleotide unclassified non-coding RNA is filed under the name Hevea brasiliensis (rubber tree). Lineage: Eukaryota; Viridiplantae; Streptophyta; Magnoliopsida; Malpighiales; Euphorbiaceae. The record is from RNAcentral.
UCAGAGUCGUGGAGAACUCGAAAAGGCCAUAGUAAUUCCGGGGAGGACUCGUCGAGUAUAAGAGUAUCCUGAUGAGGUUUGAUGAAUUUGCGAGGUUUGGUGAGGUGCUUGGUGGAGAAGAUGUUUGGGUAGGCAGUGGAGAGGAGAGCAGCUGCUUCAUUGUAAGUUUGGUUGGGACGUUUUCGAGGAGUUCGAGGUUUUCUUGUAGUGAUUGCUAGAGGAGAAUUGCUAGAUUCAGAGAUGGUAGAAGAUGGAGAAGAUGAUUGAGAAGUUCUAGUUGACGUUGAUGGUGAUUUCACUCUUUCUAAAUCGAACCCAUAGGUUCUACUACCUCCACUUAAACAAGGAGAAGACAUAGUUCUCGGAAGGAAAAUGGAUUUUGUGAUUUGAAGAUUUCAAAGAAAACCCAGAAUUUGGAGGAGGAAACCCAUUCCUGAAUUGAGCUCAAAGUUGAAGACUGAGAUGGAAUUAUGAAGAAAUUUUCAGAUCCAAUUGCAGGAAAAGCUGAAAAUUCACUUUUUGAUGUGAUAAUUG